This 229-nucleotide long non-coding RNA is filed under the name Olea europaea (common olive). RNAcentral describes it as "long non-coding RNA (OEUR_LNC003639)". The record is from RNAcentral. Lineage: Eukaryota; Viridiplantae; Streptophyta; Magnoliopsida; Lamiales; Oleaceae.
AAAGGGCCACCCACAUUUUUGGCAAUAAAAACCCCACUAAAUUGAAGCAUUUAACCUCAAACUUAAAUGACACCCAUGUUUUCUCUCUUAAAUGAAAUUUGGCCCUUCAUUUGCUUUAAGUUAUGGGAUAUUUACCUAUAAAUAGAGACCUCAUUUCACUCAUUUUUUCUCACACCAAAAGCAAGAGCUUUUACAUACUAAAGAAAGAGUUUCCAAGAGAGAAAAAGAG